RNAcentral lists this unclassified non-coding RNA (1460 nucleotides) under uncultured fungus. RNAcentral describes it as "sequence contains 18S rRNA gene, ITS1, 5.8S rRNA gene, ITS2, 28S rRNA gene". The stretch from base 523 to 1460 matches the Rfam family "Eukaryotic large subunit ribosomal RNA", at positions 1 to 961 of the family's 3401-position model. Lineage: Eukaryota; Fungi. The record is from RNAcentral.
GGAAGGAUCAUUAAUGAAAUGCAAGGACGUUCUUUUUAGAGGUCCGACCCAAUUCAUUUUCUCACACUGUGCACACUACUACUUUUUUACACCCAUCUUUAACACUUAAAGUAUAAGAAUGUAAACAGUCUCUUAAUUGAGCAUAAAAUUAAAACAAAACUUUCAGCAACGGAUCUCUUGGCUCUCCCAUCGAUGAAGAACGCAGCGAAAUGCGAUACGUAAUGUGAAUUGCAGAAUUCAGUGAAUCAUCGAAUCUUUGAACGCACCUUGCACUCUUUGGUAUUCCGAAGAGUAUGUCUGUUUGAGUGUCAUGAAACUCUCAACCCCCUUGUUUUGUAAUGAGACGAGUGUGGGCUUGGAUUAUGGCUGUUGCCGGCGUAACUGUCGACUCGGCUGAAAUAUACGAGCUACCCAUUUCUAAGAAAUAGACGGUUUGACUCGGCGUAAUAACAUAUUUCGCUGAGGACGUCACAUUCUUAAUCAUCAGUGGUGCUUCUAAUGCGACAUCUAAAUUUAAGCUUUAGACCUCAAAUCAGUCAGGACUACCCGCUGAACUUAAGCAUAUCAAUAAGCGGAGGAAAAGAAACUAACAAGGAUUCCCCUAGUAACGGCGAGUGAAGUGGGAAAAGCUCAACUUUGAAAUCUGGCAGCUUCGCUGUCCGAGUUGUAGUCUCGAGAAGUGUUUUCCGCGCUGGACCAUGUAUGAGUCUGUUGGAAUACAGCGUCAUAGAGGGUGAGAACCCCGUUCAUGACAUGCCUUCCAGUGCUCUGUGAUACACUUUCGAUGAGUCGAGUUGUUUGGGAAUGCAGCUCAAAUUGGGUGGUAAAUUCCAUCUAAAGCUAAAUAUUGGGGAGAGACCGAUAGCAAACAAGUACCGUGAGGGAAAGAUGAAAAGCACUUUGGAAAGAGAGUUAAAAGUACGUGAAAUUGUUGAAAGGGAAACGCUUGAAGUCAGACGUGCGCAGCUUCGGCUAAUGCAGGCUAGCAUCGGUUUUGCGAGUCGGAUAAAGGUAAAGGGAAGGUGGCAGCCUCGGCUGUGUUAUAGCCCUCUACUGAAUACGGAUUGCGAGACCGAGGGAUGCAGCGCGCCGAAAGGCAGAGGGUUCGCCCUUUUCGCGCUCAGGAUGCUGGUGAAAUGGCUUUAAACGACCCGUCUUGAAACACGGACCAAGGAGUCUAACAUGCUUGCGAGUGUUUGGGUGGUCAAACCCAUACGCGUAAUGAAAGUGAAUGGAGGUGGGAUCCUUCGGGAGCACCAUCGACCGAACCGGAUUUUUAAUGAAGGUUUUGAGUAAGAGCACGUAUGUUGGGACCCGAAAGAUGGUGAACUAUGCCUGAAUAGGGUGAAGCCAGAGGAAACUCUGGUGGAGGCUCGUAGCGGUUCUGACGUGCAAAUCGAUCGUCAAAUUUGGGUAUAGGGGCGAAAGACUAAUCGAACCAUCUAGUAGCUGGUUCCUGC